ACAACACUUUUACAUGUCAGUAGCCUGUGAACAGGUUUUACAGUGUAUGUUUAACAAACAUUCUUCAUCAUUAUACAGAGACGGGGUAGAAUUCUGUUAGAUAUAGUCCUAUCAUUACUUUAAAUGUAUACAUCAUUGUCAUUAUACAUAAAAUUAAUAACAGUAAUGUGGAUCUCCUAUUGUAGGUAGGCAGGUAGGUCAUGUGGAUCUCCUAUUGUAGGUAGGUAGGUAGGUCAUGUGGAUCUCCUAUUGUACCUCCCUCUCCGGUAGGUAGGUAGGUAGGUAGGUAGGUAGGUAGGUAGGUAGGUAGGUAGGUAGGUAGGUAGGUAGGUAGGUAGGUAAUGUGGAUCUCCUAUUGUAGGUAGGCAGGUAGGUCAUGUGGAUCUCCUAUUGUACCUCCCUCUCCGGUAGGUAGGUAGGUAGGUAGGUAGGUAGGUAGGUAGGUAAUGUGGAUCUCCUAUUGUAGGUAGGCAGGUAGGUCAUGUGGAUCUCCUAUUGUAGGUAGGUAGGUAGGUAGGUCAUGUGGAUCUCCUAUUGUACCUCCCUCUCCGGUAGGUAGGUAGGUAAUGUGGAUCUCCUAUUGUAGGUAGGCAGGUAGGUCAUGUGGAUCUCCUAUUGUAUCUCCCUCUCCGGUAGGUAGGUAGGUAGGUAGGUAGGUAGGUAGGUAGGUAGGUAGGUAGGUAAUGUGGAUCUCCUAUUGUACCUCCCUCUCCGGUAGGUAGGUAGGUAGGUAGGUAAUGUGGAUCUCCUAUUGUAGGUAGGCAGGUAGGUCAUGUGGAUCUCCUAUUGUACCUCCCUCUCCGGUAGGUAGGUAGGUAGGUAGGUAGGUAGGUAGGUA
Molecule: long non-coding RNA, 838 nt
Organism: Oncorhynchus gorbuscha (pink salmon)
Lineage: Eukaryota; Metazoa; Chordata; Actinopteri; Salmoniformes; Salmonidae
Exons: 3
Source: RefSeq, a predicted model, not a curated record